RNAcentral lists this ribosomal RNA (226 nucleotides) under uncultured bacterium. Its description in RNAcentral is "partial 16S ribosomal RNA". It matches the Rfam family "Bacterial small subunit ribosomal RNA", at positions 538 to 763 of the family's 1533-position model. The record is from RNAcentral.
GCGUUGUUCGGAAUUAUUGGGCGUAAAGGGCGCGUAGGCGGUUUGGCAAGUUUGGUGUGAAAUCUUCGGGCUCAACUCGAAGUCUGCAUCGAGAACUGCCGGGCUUGAGUAUGGGAGAGGUGAGUGGAAUUUCCGGUGUAGCGGUGAAAUGCGUAGAUAUCGGAAGGAACACCUGUGGCGAAAGCGGCUCACUGGACCAUAACUGACGCUGAGGCGCGAAAGCUAG